AGAGUUUGAUCCUGGCUCAGGACGAACGCUGGCGGCGUGCUUAACACAUGCAAGUCUACGAGAAAGAGGUAGCAAUAUCUUGAUUAAAGUGGCGCACGGGUGAGUAACACGUAAGCAAUCUACCCUUGGAUCUGGAAUAACUUCGAGAAAUCGAGGCUAAUACCGGAUGAUGCAGCGGCACCGCAUGGUGAUGUUGUUAAAAUUUCGAUGUCUAAGGAUGAGCUUGCGUCUGAUUAGCUAGUUGGUGAGGUAACGGCCCACCAAGGCUGCGAUCAGUAGCUGGUCUGAGAGGAUGAUCAGCCACACUGGAACUGAGACACGGUCCAGACUCCUACGGGAGGCAGCAGUGAGGAAUAUUGGGCAAUGCCCGCAAGGGUGACCCAGCAACGCCGCGUGGAGGAUGAAUGCCGUAAGGUUGUAAACUCCUGUUAGAGGGGAAGAAUAAUUCCGAUUGCAUCGGAACUUGACUGUACCCUCAGAGAAAGCCCCGGCUAACUACGUGCCAGCAGCCGCGGUAAUACGUAGGGGGCAAGCGUUGUCCGGAUUUACUGGGUGUAAAGGGCGCGCAGGUGGGCUUGAUAGUUAGAGGUGAAAUCCUGUGGCUUAACUGCAGAACUGCCUUUAAUACUUCAAGUCUUGAGUGCGGAAGAGAGAGACGGAAUUCCAGGUGUAGUAGUGAAAUACGUAGAUAUCUGGAAGAACACCAGUUGCGAAGGCGGUCUCUUGGUCCGUAACUGACACUUAGGCGCGAAAGCGUGGGGAGCAAACAGGAUUAGAUACCUGGUAGUCCACGCUGUAAACGAUGAAUACUUGUGUUGGUCCCAUUGGGAUCAGUGGCGAGCUAACGCAUUAGUAUUCCACUGGGGAGUAGAUCGCAGGGUUGAA
Molecule: ribosomal RNA, 885 nt
Filed under: uncultured Chlorobiota bacterium
Lineage: Bacteria; Pseudomonadati; Chlorobiota
Description: bacterial SSU rRNA
Rfam family: Bacterial small subunit ribosomal RNA
Source: RNAcentral